RNAcentral lists this ribosomal RNA (253 nucleotides) under uncultured bacterium. Its description in RNAcentral is "partial 16S ribosomal RNA". It matches the Rfam family "Bacterial small subunit ribosomal RNA", at positions 524 to 776 of the family's 1533-position model. The record is from RNAcentral.
UACGUAGGGUGCAAGUGUUAUCCGGAAUCACUGGGCGUAAAGCGUCUGUAGGUGGUUUAAAAAGUCCACUGUUAAAAAUUGAAGCUUAACUUCAAAGAUGCCGUGGAAACUUUUAAACUAGAGUAUGGUAGGGGUAGAGGGAAUUUCCAGUGGAGCGGUGAAAUGCGUAGAUAUUGGAAAGACCACCGAUGGCGAAGGCACUCUACUGGGCCAUUACUGACACUGAGAGACGAAAGCUAGGGGAGCAAAUGGG